UUGAUAGCUCUGGAGACUGAAAUUCUUUCUUUAGAAACAGAAUUGGUAACAGCUCAGGCUGUAGCUCUGCAAGCCUCUGCCACUGCCCCACCAAUGUGCCUCAACUUUGAACUGGAGGGCUCUCCUUCUUGCUGCAAAUAACAGUGCCAUUUUUCCUAGGGUGGCUGUU
This 169-nucleotide small RNA is filed under the name Crocodylus porosus (Australian saltwater crocodile). RNAcentral's name for it is "TUC338 (ENSCPRG00005012744.1)". The record is from RNAcentral. Lineage: Eukaryota; Metazoa; Chordata; Crocodylia; Crocodylidae.